ACAGCCUUUUACCCUUCUUCUGUUCCUCUGUACAGAGAAAAGACAGGGGACAUGGAGUGGCACGUAUCCACCCCCACCAUGGCCGCUACCGUUGUCGUGUUGGGCAUCCUGUGGUCCUCCUGGUGGAUAAGAACGUCGCGCCCGACCCCGCUGAACCCUGGCCACUCCCUCGUCUCCUUCGUCUCCCACAAUUGUAGCUGCGGCCGUCGUCCUCCCUACCCCGCGAUAAGCCGUCUAGGAGGUUCCCCUCGUCUUCCUCAACCUCUUCCAUGAAGAUCUUGACGAGAGAUGCAUCGAGGCGACACAUCGCUCCCCUUCUUCAGCCUCGGUUCCGUCGGCCCCCACCGCUGUCUCGCUGUUGUCUCGCGCUCCGGCAAGCCCCCAACCCAUCUCGAGCUCGUCGUCGACCUCCCCUUGGGAGUCGAGGAGGGAUCUCUGGGCGUUAAUGCUACAACAUGCUUGUUAAUUAAACUGCUACCCUUUACUCUUCUACAUGCUGCAAGAUGCUUGGAGCUACUUGAAGAUGCUAGUCUUCGAUAGGCUAGGCCUUCCCCUCUAUUCUGGCAUUCUGCAGUUCAGUCCAGAUAUACAUACCUUCCUUUGAUACCAAUGCAUACUUAGUAUAGAUCUGGUGCUUGUGAGUACUUUGAAUGAGUACUCACGGUUGCUUUGCUACCCCUUUUCCCCCUUCUUUCUUCUUUCCGGUUGUUCCAAUCGGAUGGUGGAUCCCAAGAGCCAGAUGCCACCACCGACGUCUACUACUAACCCGGAUAAUGCUUGCUACUACGUGGAGACCGCCGACAACCAGGAGUAGUUUAGGAGGUCCCAGGCAGGAGGCCUUGCCUCUUUGAUUGUUGUUGCUUUUGUGCUAGCCUUCUUAAGGCAAUCUUAUCUAACUUUAUGCCUAUACUCAGAUAUUGUUGCUUCCGGUAACUCUUGUGUACCGAGCUAUGUAUUCGAGCCCUCGAGGCCCCUGGCUUGUAAUGUAAAGCUUGUAUUAUUUCAUUUGUGUCUA
Non-coding RNA from Triticum urartu, 1015 nucleotides. Lineage: Eukaryota; Viridiplantae; Streptophyta; Magnoliopsida; Poales; Poaceae. The record is from RefSeq and is a predicted model, not a curated record.